RNAcentral lists this transfer RNA (73 nucleotides) under Porphyromonadaceae bacterium. RNAcentral describes it as "tRNA-Pro". It matches the Rfam family "tRNA". From Rfam's summary of the family: Transfer RNA (tRNA) molecules are approximately 80 nucleotides in length. The record is from RNAcentral. Lineage: Bacteria; Pseudomonadati; Bacteroidota; Bacteroidia; Bacteroidales; Porphyromonadaceae.
CGGGGUGUAGCGCAGUUGGUAGCGUGUUACGUUCGGGACGUAAAGGUCGGAAGUUCGAGUCUUCUCACCCCGA